Molecule: long non-coding RNA, 204 nt
Filed under: Lathyrus oleraceus (garden pea)
Lineage: Eukaryota; Viridiplantae; Streptophyta; Magnoliopsida; Fabales; Fabaceae
Description: Pisum sativum (pea) long non-coding RNA (PSAT_LNC000037)
Source: RNAcentral
AAUAUGAAUUUGGUCUUGAACUAAGAGCGUUAUGGUCUAUUCGUUCCAAAAUGUUUCUAGUGAAAGAGGGGAUUACUAAUUCUUCAUUUGGAAAAGAAAUAAAUGAUAGAUCAAGAAAGAGGGAGGUUGUUUGGUUGCUAUAGGCUUGCAAGAAAGAAGGCAAAAAUAGAAGAAAAAAAACAAAAAGAAAGAAAUAAGUAGUUU